This 501-nucleotide long non-coding RNA is filed under the name Helianthus annuus (common sunflower). RNAcentral's name for it is "hypothetical non coding rna". Lineage: Eukaryota; Viridiplantae; Streptophyta; Magnoliopsida; Asterales; Asteraceae. The record is from RNAcentral.
AAUAGAACUUAGAGCUUAUAAGGACCAUAAUCACUUAUCAUCUUCAACAUCAACACAACUCUCUCCUCUCCCUCACUAACCCUCGGCCGUGAACCCCCUCCCCACACCACCAUUUUCGGUUUCCCUUCAUUCAUUCCAAGAGCUUUCAAAGGUGUAGCAAGGUGUUUAACGAAGCUCGGUGCUCUCGGAACUUAAAGGACCUCACUCGUUUGCUAUUAUCCUCCACAUUUUCAACCUUGUUCUUCCCUAGCUUUAAGCUAGUUGGAACUAGUGGAUCUGGCGGGGUAUGCAUGUAUCAAGCUGCGUUUGAAUAAAAGAUGUUAUCCAGGGUGUUGAGUUUAGAGGGUGUAUUCCUUUCCUGGACGGGAUACAUGAUUCUAAACUCAGGUUUUUAUUUAAGUCUUUUGUGGAGUCUUUAUGAACUUAGUUGAACAUGUCAUGGUUUGUAAUUUAAAUUUGGUAUCGAUGUUUUCAAGACAAGUAUUGUGUCACACCAAAUAA